GGAUGCUCUGGCCAACAAACCUACAUCACAAAAUGGUGGAAAGAAUGGCAACUGCCGGACAUCAAGCGAAUCUGAUAUUACCCUGUCCAGUUCCGGAAGCAGCUCUGGGCUUGAUACACCUUGUGAAAUCCCAUUGAAGAACAACACUGUUCAUCACGAGCAAAUAAGCUUUCCGUCCUCUCUGAAUAAUGCUUUGGUUCCUGGGAGCAGCUCAGGGCUUGAUACACCUUGUGAAAACCCAUUGAACAACACGGUUCAUCACGAGCAAAUAAGCUUUCCGUCCUCUCUGAAUAAUGCUUUGGUUCCCCGGAAGCAAAAUAGCAAUGUCUCAACAACAGUUCAUGAAGAAAGUCCGAAUG
RNAcentral lists this long non-coding RNA (359 nucleotides) under Nicotiana benthamiana. Its description in RNAcentral is "long non-coding RNA (NBEN_LNC020866)". The record is from RNAcentral. Lineage: Eukaryota; Viridiplantae; Streptophyta; Magnoliopsida; Solanales; Solanaceae.